RNAcentral lists this ribosomal RNA (467 nucleotides) under uncultured bacterium. Its description in RNAcentral is "partial 16S ribosomal RNA". It matches the Rfam family "Bacterial small subunit ribosomal RNA", at positions 29 to 507 of the family's 1533-position model. The record is from RNAcentral.
ACGAACGCUGGCGGCGUGCUUAACACAUGCAAGUCGAACGGAAAGGCCCUGCUUUUGUGGGGUGCUCGAGUGGCGAACGGGUGAGUAACACGUGAUUAACCUGCCCUUGACUUUGGGAUAACUUCAGGAAACUGGGGCUAAUACCGGAUAGGAGCUCCUGCUGCAUGGUGGGGGUUGGAAAGUUUCGGCGGUUGGGGAUGGACUCGCGGCUUAUCAGCUUGUUGGUGGGGUAGUGGCUUACCAAGGCUUUGACGGGUAGCCGGCCUGAGAGGGUGACCGGCCACAUUGGGACUGAGAUACGGCCCAGACUCCUACGGGAGGCAGCAGUGGGGAAUAUUGCACAAUGGGCGGAAGCCUGAUGCAGCAACGCCGCGUGCGGGAUGACGGCCUUCGGGUUGUAAACCGCUUUCGCCUGUGACGAAGCGUGAGUGACGGUAAUGGGUAAAGAAGCACCGGCUAACUACGUG